GUUAGUGGAAGCGUCUGGAAAGGCGCGCGAUACAGGGUGACAGCCCCGUACACAAAAGCGCAUGUGCUGUGAGCUCGAUGAGUAGGGCGGGACACGUGGUAUCCUGUCUGAAUAUGGGGGGACCAUCCUCCAAGGCUAAAUACUCCUGACUGACCGAUAGUGAACCAGUACCGUGAGGGAAAGGCGAAAAGAACCCCGGCGAGGGGAGUGAAAAAGAACCUGAAACCGUGUACGUACAAGCAGUGGGAGCACAGGUUUACCUGUGUGACUGCGUACCUUUUGUAUAAUGGGUCAGCGACUUAUAUUCUGUAGCAAGGUUAACCGCAUAGGGGAGCCGGAGGGAAACCGAGUCUUAAUUGGGCGUUAAGUUGCAGGGUAUAGACCCGAAACCCGGUGAUCUAGCCAUGGGCAGGUUGAAGGUUGGGUAACACUAACUGGAGGACCGAACCGACUAAUGUUGAAAAAUUAGCGGAUGACCUGUGGCUGGGGGUGAAAGGCCAAUCAAACCGGGAGAUAGCUGGUUCUCCCCGAAAGCUAUUUAGGUAGCGCCUCGUGAAUUCAUCUCCGGGGGUAGAGCACUGUUUCGGCUAGGGGGCCAUCCCGGCUUACCAACCCGAUGCAAACUGCGAAUACCGGAGAAUGUUAUCACGGGAGACACACGGCGGGUGCUAACGUCCGUCGUGAAGAGGGAAACAACCCAGACCGCCAGCUAAGGUCCCAAAGUCAUGGUUAAGUGGGAAACGAUGUGGGAAGGCCCAGACAGCCAGGAUGUUGGCUUAGAAGCAGCCAUCAUUUAAAGAAAGCGUAAUAGCUCACUGGUCGAGUCGGCCUGCGCGGAAGAUGUAACGGGGCUAAACCAUGCACCGAAGCUGCGGCAGCGACGCUUAUGCGUUGUUGGGUAGGGGAGCGUUCUGUAAGCCUGUGAAGGUGGCCUGUGAGGGUUGCUGGAGGUAUCAGAAGUGCGAAUGCUGACAUAAGUAACGAUAAAGCGGGUGAAAAGCCCGCUCGCCGGAAGACCAAGGGUUCCUGUCCAACGUUAAUCGGGGCAGGGUGAGUCGACCCCUAAGGCGAGGCCGAAAGGCGUAGUCGAUGGGAAACGGGUUAAUAUUCCCGUACUUGGUGUUACUGCGAAGGGGGGACGGAGAAGGCUAUGUUGGCCGGGCGACGGUUGUCCCGGUUUAAGCGUGUAGGUGUGUGUUCCAGGUAAAUCCGGUUCACUUUAACACUGAGGCGUGACGACGAGGCACUACGGUGCUGAAGCAACAAAUGCCCUGCUUCCAGGAAAAGCCUCUAAGCAUCAGGUAACAUCAAAUCGUACCCCAAACCGACACAGGUGGUCAGGUAGAGAAUACCAAGGCGCUUGAGAGAACUCGGGUGAAGGAACUAGGCAAAAUGGUGCCGUAACUUCGGGAGAAGGCACGCUGACACGUAGGUGAAGUGAUUUACUCAUGGAGCUGAAGUCAGUCGAAGAUACCAGCUGGCUGCAACUGUUUAUUAAAAACACAGCACUGUGCAAACACGAAAGUGGACGUAUACGGUGUGACGCCUGCCCGGUGCCGGAAGGUUAAUUGAUGGGGUCAGCGCAAGCGAAGCUCCUGAUCGAAGCCCCGGUAAACGGCGGCCGUAACUAUAACGGUCCUAAGGUAGCGAAAUUCCUUGUCGGGUAAGUUCCGACCUGCACGAAUGGCGUAAUGAUGGCCAGGCUGUCUCCACCCGAGACUCAGUGAAAUUGAACUCGCUGUGAAGAUGCAGUGUACCCGCGGCAAGACGGAAAGACCCCGUGAACCUUUACUAUAGCUUGACACUGAACAUUGAGCCUUGAUGUGUAGGAUAGGUGGGAGGCUUUGAAGCGUGGACGCCAGUCUGCGUGGAGCCGACCUUGAAAUACCACCCUUUAAUGUUUGAUGUUCUAACGUGGACCCGUAAUCCGGGUUGCGGACAGUGUCUGGUGGGUAGUUUGACUGGGGCGGUCUCCUCCUAAAGAGUAACGGAGGAGCACGAAGGUUGGUUAAUCCUGGUCGGACAUCAGGAGGUUAGUGCAAUGGCAUAAGCCAGCUUGACUGCGAGCGUGACGGCGCGAGCAGGUGCGAAAGCAGGUCAUAGUGAUCCGGUGGUUCUGAAUGGAAGGGCCAUCGCUCAACGGAUAAAAGGUACUCCGGGGAUAACAGGCUGAUACCGCCCAAGAGUUCAUAUCGACGGCGGUGUUUGGCACCUCGAUGUCGGCUCAUCACAUCCUGGGGCUGAAGUAGGUCCCAAGGGUAUGGCUGUUCGCCAUUUAAAGUGGUACGCGAGCUGGGUUUAGAACGUCGUGAGACAGUUCGGUCCCUAUCUGCCGUGGGCGCUGGAGAACUGAGGGGGGCUGCUCCUAGUACGAGAGGACCGGAGUGGACGCAUCACUGGUGUUCGGGUUGUCAUGCCAAUGGCACUGCCCGGUAGCUAAAUGCGGAAGAGAUAAGUGCUGAAAGCAUCUAAGCACGAAACUUGCCCCGAGAUGAGUUCUCCCUGAGACUUAGAGUCUCCUGAAGGAACGUUGAAGACGACGACGUUGAUAGGCCGGGUGUGUAAGCGCAGCGAUGCGUUGAGCUAACCGGUACUAAUGAACCGUGAGGCUUAACCUU
This 2618-nucleotide ribosomal RNA is filed under the name Salmonella enterica subsp. enterica serovar Manhattan. RNAcentral describes it as "bacterial LSU rRNA". It matches the Rfam family "Bacterial large subunit ribosomal RNA", at positions 328 to 2925 of the family's 2925-position model. Lineage: Bacteria; Pseudomonadati; Pseudomonadota; Gammaproteobacteria; Enterobacterales; Enterobacteriaceae. The record is from RNAcentral.